RNAcentral lists this ribosomal RNA (443 nucleotides) under uncultured bacterium. RNAcentral's name for it is "bacterial SSU rRNA". It matches the Rfam family "Bacterial small subunit ribosomal RNA", at positions 958 to 1397 of the family's 1533-position model. The record is from RNAcentral.
AACGCGAAGAACCUUACCAGUCCUUGACAUGUCUAGUAUGGGUCCGAGAGAUCGGACCCUUCAGUUCGGCUGGCUAGAACACAGGUGCUGCAUGGCUGUCGUCAGCUCGUGUCGUGAGAUGUUGGGUUAAGUCCCGCAACGAGCGCAACCCUCAUCUUUAGUUGCCCACGGGUCAGGCCGGGCACUCUAAAGAAACCGCCGGUGACAAGCCGGAGGAAGGCGGGGAUGACGUCAAGUCCUCAUGGCCCUUACGGACUGGGCUACACACGUACUACAAUGGUGGUGACAGUGGGCUGCGAAGUCGCAAGACGGAGCCAAUCCCCAAAAGCCAUCUCAGUUCGGAUUGCACUCUGCAACUCGAGUGCAUGAAGUUGGAAUCGCUAGUAAUCGCAGAUCAGCACGCUGCGGUGAAUACGUUCCCGGGCCUUGUACACACCGGCUAC